Molecule: ribosomal RNA, 508 nt
Filed under: Protohermes sinuolatus
Lineage: Eukaryota; Metazoa; Arthropoda; Insecta; Megaloptera; Corydalidae
Description: partial 16S ribosomal RNA
Rfam family: Bacterial large subunit ribosomal RNA
Source: RNAcentral
GUCUUUUAGAAUAUAAUUUAAAGUCUAACCUGCCCACUGAAUUUAUUUGAAGGGCCGCGGUAUUUUGACUGUGCAAAGGUAGCAUAAUCAUUAGUCUUUUAAUUGAAGGCUUGUAUGAAUGGUUGGAUGAAACAUUAACUGUCUCAAUUUAAUAAAAAUAGAAUUUAAUUUUUAAGUUAAAAAGCUUAAAUUAAAUUAGAGGACGAGAAGACCCUAUAGAUCUUAAUAAUUAUGUAUUUAUUAUAAAUAUAGAAAUUUAAUUUUUAUUAUUUAUUUAAUUAUUUUAUUGGGGUGAUAAAUAAAUUUAAUUAACUUUAUUUUAUAUAAACAUUUAUUUAUGAAUAAUUGAUCCAUUAUUAAUGAUUAAAAGAUUAAGUUACCUUAGGGAUAACAGCGUAAUUUUUUUAGAGAGUUCUUAUCGAUAAAAAAGUUUGCGACCUCGAUGUUGAAUUAAAGGUUAAUUUUAGGUGCAGAAGUUUAAAGUUUUGGUCUGUUCGACCAUUAAAUC